CGGGCAAUGCGUAGUACGGCGAGUGAGCGGCACAGCUCAAAUUUGAAAUCUGGCUCUUUUAGAGUCCGAGUUGUAAUUUGCAGAGGGCGCUUUGGCUUUGGCAGCGGUCCAAGUUCCUUGGAACAGGACGUCACAGAGGGUGAGAAUCCCGUACGUGGUCGCUGGCUAUUGCCGUGUAAAGCCCCUUCGACGAGUCGAGUUGUUUGGGAAUGCAGCUCUAAAUGGGAGGUACAUUUCUUCUAAAGCUAAAUAUUGGCCAGAGACCGAUAGCGCACAAGUAGAGUGAUCGAAAGAUGAAAAGCACUUUGGAAAGAGAGUCAAACAGCACGUGAAAUUGUUGAAAGGGAAGCGCUUGCAGCCAGACUUGCUUGCAGUUGCUCAUCCGGGCUUUUGCCCGGUGCACUCUUCUGCAGGCAGGCCAGCAUCAGUUUGGGCGGUAAGAUAAAGGUCUCUGUCACGUACCUCUCUUCGGGGAGGCCUUAUAGGGGAGACGACAUAUUACCAGCCUGGACUGAGGUCCGCGCAUCUGCUAGGAUGCUGGCGUAAUGGCUGUAAGCGGCCCGUCUUGAAACAACGGACCA
Molecule: ribosomal RNA, 581 nt
Filed under: Alternaria conjuncta
Lineage: Eukaryota; Fungi; Ascomycota; Dothideomycetes; Pleosporales; Pleosporaceae
Description: partial large subunit ribosomal RNA
Rfam family: Eukaryotic large subunit ribosomal RNA
Source: RNAcentral